This 445-nucleotide ribosomal RNA is filed under the name uncultured bacterium. RNAcentral's name for it is "bacterial SSU rRNA". It matches the Rfam family "Bacterial small subunit ribosomal RNA", at positions 330 to 792 of the family's 1533-position model. The record is from RNAcentral.
UCCAGACUCCUACGGGAGGCAGCAGUGGGGAAUAUUGCACAAUGGGGGAAACCCUGAUGCAGCGACGCCGCGUGAGUGAAGAAGUGAUUCGUCACGUAAAGCUCUCUCAGCAGGAAAGAAAAUGACGGUACCUGACUAAGAAGCCCCGGCUAACUACGUGCCAGCAGCCGCGGUAAUACGUAGGGGGCAAGCGUUAUCCGGAUUUACUGGGUGUAAAGGGAGCGUAGACGGCAGGGCAAGUCUGAAGUGAAAGCCCGGGGCCCAACCCCGGGACUGCUUUGGAAACUGUCCGGCUGGAGUGCAGGAGGGGUGGGCGGAAUUCCUAGUGUAGCGGUGAAAUGCGUAGAUAUUAGGAGGAACACCGGCGGCGAAGGCGGCCCACUGGACUGUAACUGACGUUGAGGCUCGAAAGCGUGGGGAGCAAACAGGAUUAGAUACCCCAGUA